RNAcentral lists this ribosomal RNA (373 nucleotides) under uncultured bacterium. RNAcentral's name for it is "partial 16S ribosomal RNA". It matches the Rfam family "Bacterial small subunit ribosomal RNA", at positions 355 to 721 of the family's 1533-position model. The record is from RNAcentral.
UGGGGAAUUUUGGACAAUGGGCGCAAGCCUGAUCCAGCAAUGCCGCGUGCAGGAUGAAGGCCUUCGGGUUGUAAACUGCUUUUGUACGGAACGAAAAGGCUCUGGUUAAUACCUGGAGCAUAUGACGGUACCGUAAGAAUAAGCACCGGCUAACUACGUGCCAGCAGCCGCGGUAAUACGUAGGGUGCGAGCGUUAAUCGGAAUUACUGGGCGUAAAGCGUGCGCAGGCGGUUUUGUAAGACAGAGGUGAAAUCCCGGGCUCAACCUGGGAACUGCCUUUGUGACUGCAAGGCUGGAGUGCGGCAGAGGGGGAUGGAAUUCCGCGUGUAGCAGUGAAAUGCGUAGAUAUGCGGAGGAACACCGAUGGCGAAGG